This 295-nucleotide long non-coding RNA is filed under the name Hordeum vulgare. RNAcentral's name for it is "long non-coding RNA (HVUL_LNC014494)". The record is from RNAcentral. Lineage: Eukaryota; Viridiplantae; Streptophyta; Magnoliopsida; Poales; Poaceae.
CCGUAGUCUUGACAGUUGUAGCAGCGCAGCUUGCGGAUGUCGAAGUUGCUCCUCGUCUUGCCGGCGCCACCGCGCUCACCUUUCCGCGCCUCCCACUGCGCUGCCGUGAGCAUGAGCUGGCCGCCGCCUCGUCCGCCGCUAUCCUGAAUGUGUCGCCUUGUCCGCUCCUCGAACGCCUUCAGCCGCCCGAGCGCCUCCUCGAACGUCAUCUUGUCGACGUCGCAGAACUGCUCAAUUCCGGCCACCGCUGCGUACAGCCGGUCCGGCACGGUGUCGAGCAGUUUCUUCACCAUUG